RNAcentral lists this ribosomal RNA (640 nucleotides) under Geobacillus stearothermophilus. Its description in RNAcentral is "bacterial SSU rRNA". It matches the Rfam family "Bacterial small subunit ribosomal RNA", at positions 79 to 704 of the family's 1533-position model. The record is from RNAcentral. Lineage: Bacteria; Bacillati; Bacillota; Bacilli; Caryophanales; Anoxybacillaceae.
CUUGCUCCCGGAUGUUAGCGGCGGACGGGUGAGUAACACGUGGGUAACCUGCCUGUAAGACUGGGAUAACUCCGGGAAACCGGAGCUAAUACCGGAUAGUUCCUUGAACCGCAUGGUUCAAGGAUGAAAGACGGUUUCGGCUGUCACUUACAGAUGGACCCGCGGCGCAUUAGCUAGUUGGUGGGGUAAUGGCUCACCAAGGCGACGAUGCGUAGCCGACCUGAGAGGGUGAUCGGCCACACUGGGACUGAGACACGGCCCAGACUCCUACGGGAGGCAGCAGUAGGGAAUCUUCCGCAAUGGACGAAAGUCUGACGGAGCAACGCCGCGUGAGUGAUGAAGGUUUUCGGAUCGUAAAGCUCUGUUGUUAGGGAAGAACAAGUGCGAGAGUAACUGCUCGCACCUUGACGGUACCUAACCAGAAAGCCACGGCUAACUACGUGCCAGCAGCCGCGGUAAUACGUAGGUGGCAAGCGUUGUCCGGAAUUAUUGGGCGUAAAGGGCUCGCAGGCGGUUUCUUAAGUCUGAUGUGAAAGCCCCCGGCUCAACCGGGGAGGGUCAUUGGAAACUGGGAAACUUGAGUGCAGAAGAGGAGAGUGGAAUUCCACGUGUAGCGGUGAAAUGCGUAGAGAUGUGGAGG